UUAAGUUCAGCGGGUAGUCCUACCUGAUUUGAGGCCAGAGGUCAAAGGUGUAUGUCUCAUCAAAGAGACCGUUAGAAGCCAAACCUACGACGGAGCGCCUCUCAGCCACAACGUAGACAAUUAUCACGUUGAAGCCGAUACAGCAGAGGUUCAAGCUAAUGCAUUCAAGAGGAGCUGGCAGACACCAGCAAAACCCCCAA
Molecule: unclassified non-coding RNA, 200 nt
Filed under: Polyporaceae sp.
Lineage: Eukaryota; Fungi; Basidiomycota; Agaricomycetes; Polyporales; Polyporaceae
Description: partial internal transcribed spacer 2
Source: RNAcentral